Molecule: long non-coding RNA, 1132 nt
Organism: Pan paniscus (pygmy chimpanzee)
Lineage: Eukaryota; Metazoa; Chordata; Mammalia; Primates; Hominidae
Source: Ensembl
GGAACUUGAGCUUGCAUCAGACUCACCUAAGGCAUCAUGUUAAAACACUGAUUGCUGAACUCUACCCUGAUAGUUUUUGGUUCUGUAGUUCUAAGGCAGAGCUCAUUAAUUUGAAUUUCUAACCAGUUCCCAUAUGAUGCUGAUGCAACUUGUCCUGCAGACCAUACAUUGAGGACCGCUAGCCUAGAGUUCCCCUUUCUUGACCCAGAUGCUGGACUGUUGUAAGCCAACAGUUAGGUCUUUCUGAAAUCCAUGGGCUCAAGCAGGGGCAGAAAAUAUCCAGAUGCCAAAAGGAAGCUUAUUAUUUUAUAGGGACCUCUGCAGAGUGAGCGCCACACUUUGGCUGAAGAGUACAGUUUGUUCCUCACCAUGACCUUGGGGUCCCGUCCCAACUAAUCCAGAGCCAUGUGGGUUUGCAGAGACAGGCAUUCCUCCAAUAUUCUGGCCUCUGACCUGAAAUCUUCUAACCUGAGAAGAGAACAGUCACCUUCCUGGGAAUCUGAAAUAGAAAGGCAAAUUUGUGAAGGCCUUUCUGACAUCUGAAUGGCUGGAUUUGCAUUUGCUGUAGUGAUAACUCAGUGCCAUCCAGACCUGACAGUGAUGAACGAUGCUGGAUUCUGCUCAAAUUCCAUCAAAGCCUGCAGGGUGAAGACUCUGGUCCCUGAACCCAGUGUCCUCUGGCCCUUCCUGUCAAAGCAUUGGAGUGACAUGGAGACAUUUGAGAGGCAGUGAGGAGGAAGGACAGAGGCAUCAGGUGUAAGAAUUCUGGACCCUUAUUUGAAGUCUCUCCUGCUUUGUUGGGCAAAAGUAAUGAGAAACUCCACUUGGCUUCAGAAUGCAGUGUCAACUCCACAUGAAUCAAAGCAAUAAAAAAGAAUCAACUCAGAGCAGGCUGAGCUAUGUGAGAUACGGAAGCAAAGAGAUGAGACAGAGACAUGGGGCCAAGUCAUCAGAAAGAGUUAUACUUGCCACCCCAGAUCUUUCUGCCCUGCUUUCUGUUAAACUGAGGGUCACAGUGUUUGGACACCGCAUGAACAUGCCAAUUUCCUGUGUUGUAAUAUUUUUAUGCACUUUAAGAAGACCACCAGAAACAGCAGAAUAUAUCCAGCUGGGAGAAAAGAAUCUCAUUUGA